RNAcentral lists this ribosomal RNA (426 nucleotides) under uncultured bacterium. Its description in RNAcentral is "bacterial SSU rRNA". It matches the Rfam family "Bacterial small subunit ribosomal RNA", at positions 356 to 773 of the family's 1533-position model. The record is from RNAcentral.
AGGGAAUCUUCCGCAAUGGACGAAAGUCUGACGGAGCAACGCCGCGUGAGUGAAGAAGGCCUUCGGGUCGUAAAACUCUGUUGCCGGGGAAGAACAAGUGCCGUUCGAACAGGGCGGCGCCUUGACGGUACCCGGCCAGAAAGCCACGGCUAACUACGUGCCAGCAGCCGCGGUAAUACGUAGGUGGCAAGCGUUGUCCGGAAUUAUUGGGCGUAAAGCGCGCGCAGGCGGCUUCUUAAGUCUGAUGUGAAAUCUUGCGGCUCAACCGCAAGCGGUCAUUGGAAACUGGGAAGCUUGAGUGCAGAAGAGGAGAGUGGAAUUCCACGUGUAGCGGUGAAAUGCGUAGAGAUGUGGAGGAACACCAGUGGCGAAGGCGACUCUCUGGACUGUAACUGACGCUGAGGCACGAAAGCGUGGGUAGCAAAC